UUUUUUUUUUUUCCAGAACACAAUCUCAAGCUCACAGAAGUCCGCAGCAAAGUCUUGCUGUGAAUGGGGUCUUUGUUCUGUGAGACUGUUUCUGAAGACUCCUGGCUCUCUGUUCGUCUUUGCAUACGAGGCUGAAACACAAAUUUGUCCAUAUGCUUUUGCUUUCAGCACGUUCGCGUCCUCAUAACUCCCACUUUCUCACAGAAAUGCUUGAAGCUCUCUGGUAGGUGUGCUGUAUAUUGUCACGGUGGCUAACCUGUGAAGCUGUGCUGAUUUAUACCACCUGACAGCACGCUCCGUAGCGUGUGUUUUUACUAAAUCCAUAUUUUUCCAAUUUCUUCAUGCUCUUGCAGUGGCAGUUUUUUUCAAUCCAUCAGGGAGUGGGAUCCUGCAUCCAGAGUAUGUAAAUAACAGCUGUUUCCACUCAAUUUGCAUUUAUAUACUUAACACUUCAAAAUAGAUUAUUUCUAGAAGCUUUCACAAUCUGGUCACAAUUCCUACUUAGUCAGAGGUACUGGGGAGAUGUUAAUGAAACCCCUCUGGACUAGCUGAGGAAAAAAAAGAUACAGCUGCAACAAUGAAAUUCCCCAGGCAGGAUGGAUCGGUUUUGCCUCUGACGGUCGUACUUCAACAAGGCAUGAAGGAUCUCAUUUCAUCUCCUUGGGCAUCUUCAGCAUGAUUUCUAAGUAGGUGACAGUGUGCCAGGUAAGGAGAGAAAUUGCCACAACAACUGCGCUGAACUGGUGGAGCAUUUCUAGCAAAAUUAAUUUAUUGUGUGAGUGCAGCCGAAAAGGAAAAAUAAUGGCAAAUUAUUUAUAGUGAAAAAUUUAUUUGCCAGUGUCACAGCUAUUUAAAUGAAUUAACCUGUUACAUCCUGAGAAGAAAACCAGCUCUUUAAUUUGUUUUGAUAUGACUACUUUCUUUUGUUGAUAUUUCACUAGCCCUGAAAUGAAAAUACAGCAUUUUAAUUUAAAAAAGCUAAAAUGGAGAUUUUAAGAAAUUAAUGUUCAUUUAUUAUUUUUGCCCAGAAAACUUUGAAAGCCUUUCACCUCCUUAUCCCAGAUGCCUCAGCCUGAACUAUUUUGUUAGAUUUCUUAGAUCCUCUGAAGGCUGAGGAUUAUGGAACAUUAAUAUUUAUUGACCUUCACUUCGUGUCAUUUACUCUGAUGUGGACUGUUGGAAGAGAUGUUUAUUCCUAAACCCAGAUUUUUCCUUUUUAUUAUUAUUAUUAUUUACAUUAUAGAAAUGCACUUUUCUGUAUCUGUAAUAUUGUUUAUCCAGAAGAAAAAUACUUUUAUGUUUACUGCAGUCCCAACAGGGGCAUCUCUGAACUGGGUCCAACGAUGCUGAGGACUCGAGUUGUUUGGAGAGAACAACAAUUAUGUGUGUGAGUUGUUGCUUUUGCAUGUCUCAACAAGCCUGUACCAGAGUCAUUUUAACUAAGUGGGAAGAACAAAGACGAUCUGAGCUCAGGUUGUCUGUAAAAACAACUUGGGUUCCAGCUACCUGGUUUCAGAGGGCAUGUUUGUAUUUCUAAAUUUAAAAAACUUCCUGAUGCCAGGAGGACUGACUUAUAUUCAUGAUGACUGGGGCUAGUUCCCUCUAGAGAGAACUCCCACUUCCACACUCCUUGGGCUCUCUGUGGUGCCCCCGCAGACCCAGCAUGUAAUUAUGAUUUUUUUUUUGUGUAUCAUUUCAGUUCAAAGUAUCUGAAAUGAUGUGCAACCGUCCUGCAGCCUGCUAUAACGGUGCUUCCCUAGUGUGAAAGCAAAGCCUAUUUUUUAACUGAAAACCUCAAAGUGUCUUAACUGAAGAAGGAGUCGAAGAGCACUGCUGCAGCACAGCUCUGAUCCAGUACAACUCCUACAGAUCCUGACCAGAAAAAUGUGUGUGUUUUGAAAAGAAACAAUAUAUUAACUUGAAUAUUUGAGUAAUGAGAAAGGCUAGCAAUUUUUAAGAAGCACUAGUCUUUACAUGAAACUAUAAAGCUCUGCUUUAGUGAGUAGGAAAUAUGUCUGUACAGCAGGGCUUUGCUUUUAUGGUUUAGACUUUUACUUAGGCUUCUAUUCUACAGGAUAAUGGCUUAAUAGAGUAGCCUAAUCUAACACAGCCGCUUUUCAUUGUUCAUUUGAAUUUUCUGUGAUACUUACAUGGUUAAACUUCUAUUAGUUUUGGCAGAAGAGAUUACAAAAAUCAGCUUGUCCAGAAUUCUUUUUCUAUGACAUCUCAUUUCGCUGGUAGAAAGAUUCUUUCGUUGAGGAAUUGUAAACUUUGGUAGCAGUCAAAACUGACAUCGUUUAAAAUAGUAAAGUGGGUCUGAUCCAAGACUGUUGUUUCAUCUUGACAAGCAAUAAAGCUGAGUGUAAGCAC
Cygnus olor (mute swan) is the source of this 2370-nucleotide long non-coding RNA. RefSeq lists it as uncharacterized. The transcript is spliced from 2 exons. The record is from RefSeq and is a predicted model, not a curated record. Lineage: Eukaryota; Metazoa; Chordata; Aves; Anseriformes; Anatidae.